This 230-nucleotide long non-coding RNA is filed under the name Ananas comosus (pineapple). Its description in RNAcentral is "long non-coding RNA (ACOM_LNC025674)". Lineage: Eukaryota; Viridiplantae; Streptophyta; Magnoliopsida; Poales; Bromeliaceae. The record is from RNAcentral.
CUCAUCAUGCACGUAAGUAACCAAUCUGAGAGUAAUUCUGAUAUGUUUUCUACUAAAUUGAUCUUUCGGAUAACGCAUUUUAUCAGUGACGUGAUAGAGAUCUCUAGUCAUGCAUAAUGAAUAUGCAUUAUAUAUAUCUUCAAUUUUGCAUACAUCCCUAAUUAACCCUCACCUUAAUUACUUUUCAUUUUCCUAUUUCUAUCCAAUCUAUUACUGUUCAAAUAUUUUUA